Molecule: long non-coding RNA, 182 nt
Organism: Hibiscus syriacus
Lineage: Eukaryota; Viridiplantae; Streptophyta; Magnoliopsida; Malvales; Malvaceae
Exons: 3
Source: RefSeq, a predicted model, not a curated record
GGGAGUUUUUCCGGCGUUGCUUCCAGAGAAUGUGGGUCGCUCCGGUGGCCCUAAUGUGACACUCCAGAUCAGAUCGGGUUAACCGCAUCGGUCUAGGAGAAUAAAGUGGAAAAAAUCGUGUCAUGAGUCCUCCGAGUUUGGUUAAAAGAAUUGUAUCAGUACAACUAUCAUCUUCAGUAAGG